UUUAUUUUCUUGAAUAAAUAUAGAAAGUAUGGACACACGUGCUGAGUUUUGGAAUUUGAACAAGAUGUAUAGGACAUGUUCCACCACAAGAACCUAAACAACUGAGCUAUGUUUUACAAAUUGUGUAAGCCCCUCAAUUUCCUUCAAUUAAAAAGCCUUUUCCUUUCCAUGCCAUUUUAUCUCGUUUUUGUUUACACUUCAAGAAACCUGCAUUUUUCAAAUUCAC
Molecule: long non-coding RNA, 226 nt
Filed under: Setaria italica (foxtail millet)
Lineage: Eukaryota; Viridiplantae; Streptophyta; Magnoliopsida; Poales; Poaceae
Description: long non-coding RNA (SITA_LNC004289)
Source: RNAcentral